RNAcentral lists this long non-coding RNA (541 nucleotides) under Homo sapiens (human). RNAcentral describes it as "HSALNT0322222". Lineage: Eukaryota; Metazoa; Chordata; Mammalia; Primates; Hominidae. The record is from RNAcentral.
AAACCCCCAGGACUCAGCCUCACAGAUGGCUAACCGGCUUUCAGGACAAGAACUUGGAACUUGCUGAGCUGGGGAUGGUGGGAGUAAAAGAGUUGUAACCUUCCCUUCUGCUCCCCAAACAAUGUGAGAGAAGAAACCAUUGGACGCCACUCUCUCCUGUUAGCCCAACUGCCAGAGCGAAAAAGUUGUGACGUCACUGGCUUACCCAGCAAGCUAACUGUGGGAGGUGGGAGUAAAAGAGCUGUAACCUUCUCUCCCACUCGAGGAACUACCCUCCUGCUUGACAAAUUACAGGAGCGAAAAAGCCACGUAUCAGAGGAGACUUCAGGAAAAUUAAGCCUGACAGUCUCUCCAAACAACUUUGUGCACAUAUUAAGUAAAGGAGGAGGUACUGCUUACACCUAAAACCUAAUCUCAGAUGAAUUAUGGAGUGAAUAUAACUACUACUGAGCUAAAUGUUAAAAACAAAUGUGUAAGAUCUCAUAAAGACAAUACAUGCAAUAUUUCAUUUACACAUUACGUUUAUUAUUUAUGUGUGCAU